UUUAUGGCCAGAUUUUGGGGGGCCUGUUCCCAACAGUGACAGAGUGGGAGAAUGUGAUUAGUGAGUAGUUCUUUCCACCAACUUGAAGAGUCCCAUCAAUGUCCUGCUCUGAGGGAUGGAGGAAGGUGGGAAGAGUCUGUGAAAAAAGAACAGCAGGAAUUCAGGGUGAAGAAGAUGUGGACUGUGUCUCCAAUAUCUGGUUUGCACAAAAGAGAGCUGGCACCAUCUAAUUUUUGUGUGGAAAUCCGAAGAUGUCCUAAGGGCAUAUGAUGCAAUUGAAGUCCAGAGAGGCUAAAUGAUGUGGCUAUGAUGUCACAGCUAGGAACUGGCCGAACCAAGGUGAGAGAACUGAGGCUCAAGAGAUUUAAGGAGCUUGCCUGAAGUCACCGAGCUACUUGUGCCAUUUACUGUGAGGUGGGGGAGGAGUUCUUUUCUCUUAGACAUGAUGUCAAAACAUAGAGAAGCCAAUUAAUUUGCCUGAUACAACAACACAGUAUUUUAAUUCCAACCUUAUAUUCUUAUUCAUUGAAGAUAAUGUGUUUAUUUCUGUGAAACUAAAAAACAGAAUGUCGUAGCAUAUUAUCUUCGUGCCCAUUCACAUGAUAUUAAAUACAAGUUAGCCAAAUAAUCCUAUUAUUUUGAGUCCCUAAACAUCUACAGGGCCUACUUAGUGGUGGAGAAAGAAAUACAAAUGGCAAGUGGAACUAUCUUAUUGAAUAGUAAUAAACACCUUACAUGGAGUUCCACUGAGUACACAUAGAAAAGGCCUAUGUUUUAGGGUAAGAAAGCGUAGGCUGAUUAUUAUACUGUUGAAUUGGAAGGAAAGGAAGGAGUGAGGGCUGGGAGAAAGGAGUGCAAAACAGUGGAAAGUGUUUCUAGAUUCUGUUGAAGAGCACUGGCCUCCCUGUAUGUGAUAAUGCUUUUUACCUUUACUCCCUUCAGGCUUGAGGAAAAAAGUGAUGACUCGAAAAUUUGAUGUUAUUGUAAAGAAAAAGCAUUUGUAGUAGAAUUUAGGUACAACACUCAGCAAUAGCAGUCUAUCAGUUACAGAACCAGAGAUAUUCAAACCAAGUCUAACUGGAACUUCAAUAUACCACAAUAUAUUUAUUUAUUGCUAUGAAGCAAGUUAUCUGCACAUUCUUGAGAAUCAUAUACUUUCUUUGCACAAUAAACUGUCACUAUAUUACUAUUAAAAAUAGUAUGCAAACAUUCACAAACAAUUCUCUGUAGUUGAUUGCACUGUACUAAUGACAACCAUCCUUAAAUAUUUUGGAAAUCACCUGCAUUUCUCUUACAGUUGAAGCCAUGUUUCAUAAAAGAAAAGAUAAAACAAACAAAUCAUACUUAAGAAGUUGCCAGAACACAUUAUUUACAGUAAGCAUGUAUGCUUAACAAACCAAAUAUUUAAUAUUUCAUGCAUGAAAAAUGGGCAGACAUCACAGUCAUUAGUAUUCCAGGUGAGGCAGAACAUGCAAAUUUACUCAGCCAUUAAAGAAUGAGUCAUAUGCUAUUUAAUAUAACAAAAUAGUUUAUGUAUAUUAGAGUAAACAGUGAAAGCACAAUAGAAAAAAAUGGAUUUGAUUCAGAUGUUGAGCUGCUAUGUAAACCAAUUAUCUAUCCGGAGGGAAACAGCUCUGUCUACAACUACUUAGGCUCUAGGGCCUAUUACAAACCCUGGAGUGGGCUGUUGUUUCUGUUCUCCAGGGAAUUUACCACGUCACACUAGAAAUAGCUGACAAUAAUUAGAAAGCCUGCUUCUGCCAGUAUUGCACACAUUUUUAAUACCUUCCUAAGUAUUAUGGGAGAUAAUACACAAGGUCUUUAGAAUUCUAGUCAUGCCACCCAAGCCAUGGAAAGGACAACUAGACAAUAGCCCCAAACUGGACUGUGACAGGCUAAUUAUUGUGGCUUCAUUAUAAAACCUCUUUUUACAUAGGUCACCUGGGAAGUGUAAUUAAAAAUGCAUUAUUGGGGUAUUUUUUAUUGAAGCAAUUAAAUUAAAAAGCC
Long non-coding RNA from Pan troglodytes (chimpanzee), 2007 nucleotides. RefSeq lists it as uncharacterized. The transcript is spliced from 4 exons. The record is from RefSeq and is a predicted model, not a curated record. Lineage: Eukaryota; Metazoa; Chordata; Mammalia; Primates; Hominidae.